AAUAAUCAAAUCAAGGAGCUACGUCCGGAUUGAUUCCGCCCCAAGGAUACGUAGGCAAUAUGGAAACUCAAUCCAAAUACAACCACAAGUUCAAACAGAAUUCUGGUUCACAACCAAAUUCGCCCCCAAACACUUUUCAACUACAAAUCAAAUUGAAUCACUGGUCCAACCACAUUCAUCUAAAUUCCAUAAAUAUUUCCCACACCACAAAUUCUUUCAAGGGGUCAUUCACUCGUUGAAAGUCCAAUCAAAUUCUCCAAAGAACUACGAGUGACUUUAUCCCUUAAAAAGGGUACGUAGGCAACCUAAGGUCAAUCUAAGUGCAGCCGCAAACUUAAACAAACACACAAACUCCCCACAUUAAAUUUUAUCCAUGUUGGAAGCAAAAGGUGUUCUCUUAUCUCGAUUCUCUCUACUGCAAUUUCCACCACAGCAAGGACGCCAACCAAUAACUUGGCCAGUCGCCAGAGGUAAGAAAUAUCUUCCCAAUCUUUCUGAUUCAAUUGGUUUGAUCUUUUCUGUGUUUGUUGUUUCUCUAGAAUGAGUGCUUGUUAGAUCAAUUUGAGACGUUGACUUAUGCUGGAAAAGAAAAGAGAGUAAUAAAUAAAAAAUAAAAAAAAACUUGAAGCUUAAUAACUGUUCAUACAAGACAAAGAAGCAGACUUUCACCUUCCAUAUUCAUUGCCGGCAGCAUUGCUGUUUCUGUGGUACGAAGCAAUCUGAGACAUUGACUUAGACUGGAAAAGAAAAGAGAGUAAAAAAAAUAUACUUGUGAGAACCAAAUUUGUGUCAUGGGAUUUAAUUUUGUAACCUCACUUGAGUGAUUACCUGUCUGUAGCUGGAUUUCCACUUUGAUGGUAUAGGUAUAAUGGACGGUACAUACCGAGAUAAAGAACGAAGACGAGAAUACCGGUCCCGCAUCUCAUUCGGCAAAAACGCAAUUGCAGGCUGCCAUGUUUGAGAAUUGAGGUCGAGCAUACAUAUGUUUAUAUGUUUAUAUAUCCACACUUUUUUAUAGGAUAAUAAUUGGUCCUUAAGAGCCAAGUUGUAAUUGUAGUCGGGAGUGUACCCAAUAUUUGUCUCAUAUUUGAAGGCAGUACAAUCGAAGUUUUUAGAUAAUUGUCAUGAAGCAUUUCCCAAGUAUUAUUCCUCAGAAUCCACAACCCUAUCAUUUUAUGACGUUCACGCAACUCACCUAGUAGACCAAGGCAUCCAACCAUCUCAAUUAAUUUGCAGUCAAAAGCAUAGAAAUCCGAUUUGUCGUCACAUGGGCCACACAACUGGGGAAGUGGGAUCGUAGUGAACAUCUCACUUCUAACCUCGAACACCAGAAUGCAACUUGUGCGAUACUCAUAGCUUGGCCAAUAUAACUUGCGGUUGAGGCAUAAAGGUUUAUUCUCAAGAAAACUACAGAGGUGAAUCUCAUCGUGGACCCGGGGUAGGUGAAAAUUCCGCGCCAGGCGCGUGAGGAAAAAAAACAAAAAUAAAAAGAAAAGAAGUCAAAACAUGGGUUUAAAAUAAACUUUUCUUAUAAAAAUAGCUCCCAAAAUCUUACAACUUUACAAUAAAUAAAUACAUCUCUAUUACUCUCAUCUAAUUCAGCCUCAAUUGGUUUAGUCUUGUCUUGUCCACUAAUUCAUCUGAAAAAUUAAAUAGGGUGAGAGAUAAGCAAUCACCGCUCAGUAGGGAAAUGAGACCUUACGACAGUAGAUUGAUAUAACUAAAUUAAGUAACCCCCUUCCUAUUGGAUGGUGUUUGGCGGUUUACAAAUACUUACCAUCCAAGUUAUAUUCAUGUGGUGGUCUAGCUUUGCAAAUAAGGUAGUUCCCAAUUCCUCCAAUCCUAUACAACCUUUCUUGGUGAAUUGACAGAGCUAGUAUAUAGCUAUGCUUACUAAGCAUUUGUUUUUCUUUGACACAUACUACACUAACAAUGACUAACCAUAUCCAUAUAUAAUAGAACAGGAUAUUUAUGUAAUACACACAUAUAUAAUAUAAUAUAAUAUAUAAGUAAAUGGCAAAAUAUUAAAUCUUCAAACUAUAUAAUUUUUAUAAAUACGGAGUUUCACAAUCUACCCUCCUUAAAAGAAAUUUCGUCCUCAAAAUUUACUAACACUUAAUUAAGAAAAUCUACUCCAAAAAGUUAUGCCCCUAACUCAUUCUAUCAAUUUAAAACUUAUUUUGUACUAAUACUAUAUCACAGUUCCCAAGGGUGUCUAAUCCCUAUGCUCUGAUAUCAUUCUGUCACGCCUCGAACUCGGGGGUAGGUGAAAACCCCUGGCCCGGCUCGUGAGAAAAUUAAAAAAAACUAAAAAAAAAGAAGAAAAGAAGCCGAAACAUGGGUUUAAAAUAAACUUCUCUUAUAAAAAUAGCUCCCAAAAUCUUACAACUUUACAAUAAAUAAAUACAGCUCUAUUACUCUCAUCUAAUUCAGCCUCAACUGGUUUAAUCCUUGUCUUACCCAUUAAUUCAUCUAAAAAAUUAAUUAGGGUGAGGGAUGAGCAACCACCGCUCAGUAGGGAAACGAGACCUUAUCACAGUAGAUUGAUAUAACUAAAUUAAGUAACACGCAAUCACACAGCCAAAUAUCACAUUAAUAAUAAAAAUAAUAAUAAUGCAUGAAUGCUCUUCAUCUAAUCCCGUUAAUUUAUAUAACUGGACAAGCAGACCUGCACGUCCCAUACUAUGCUUAUACCACUUGGUCCCGAAUGCCCAUUUAUAUGAACUAACACCCAUUUCAAUCAUCCCAUAAUUCCCCUUUUGUUAGUCAUCUUGUCUACAACAUUGAUCUCCAAGCCCAAAUCACCCAAUCGACAAUUAUACCGCUGAUUUCCUAGUCUACUGUGCACAUGGGCUCGCCUGGACUUGGUCCCUACAAUGUUCAGACUCAACUGCACAAAAGGUCUUUCCCAUUACCCUAUUUUCCAUACUUUCUUUAUCAACCCAAGAGUUCCAGCCAUCACUAAUAACAUAUGAUCAUAUCAAUAUUAAUAAAAUGAUAUAAUAAUAAUUAACAACACUUAAACACUCAAUAUCAAUAAUAAUCAAAUAAUAUUAUCAUGGAUAAUAUAUUACUCACGAAAUUUAAUUAGAUCAAUCCCUGUAAAAGCUCCCAAGAAACCCCUACCUUAAUUCCAAAGCAUUGUUCCAAUUUAAGAAAAUACAAACUAACCCCUAUAUCUCCUCCAAGAAUUUUAUCCUCUCUCUCUCUCUCUC
Molecule: long non-coding RNA, 3215 nt
Filed under: Prunus persica (peach)
Lineage: Eukaryota; Viridiplantae; Streptophyta; Magnoliopsida; Rosales; Rosaceae
Description: long non-coding RNA (PPER_LNC006332)
Source: RNAcentral